GACGAACCGAGCGAACGUUGUUCGGAAUCAUUGGGCUUAAAGGGCGCGUAGGCGGGCGGUCGCGCCCGGGGUGAAAGCCGUCGGCCCAACCGACGGAGGGCCCCGGGGACGGACCGCCUCGAGGGGGGUAGGGGCACGCGGAACGGUGGGUGGAGCGGUGAAAUGCGUUGAGAUCCACCGGAACUCCGGCGGCGAAGGCGGCGUGCUGGGCCCUCUCUGACGCUGAGGCGCGAAAGCCAGGGGAGCGAACGGG
RNAcentral lists this ribosomal RNA (253 nucleotides) under uncultured bacterium. RNAcentral's name for it is "partial 16S ribosomal RNA". It matches the Rfam family "Bacterial small subunit ribosomal RNA", at positions 524 to 776 of the family's 1533-position model. The record is from RNAcentral.